UCUCCGUUGGUGAACCAGCGGAGGGAUCAUUACCGAGUUUACAACUCCCAAACCCAAUGCGAACGUUACCAACCUGUUGCCUCGGCGGGAUCUCUGCCCCGGGUGCGUCGCAGCCCCGGACCAAGGCGCCCGCCGGAGGACCAACCAAAACUCUUAUUGUAUACCCCCUCGCGGGUUUUUUUAUAAUCUGAGCCUUCUCGGCGCCUCUCGUAGGCGUUUCGAAAAUGAAUCAAAACUUUCAACAACGGAUCUCUUGGUUCUG
Molecule: unclassified non-coding RNA, 262 nt
Filed under: plant metagenome
Description: partial contains small subunit ribosomal RNA, internal transcribed spacer 1, and 5.8S ribosomal RNA
Source: RNAcentral